This 473-nucleotide ribosomal RNA is filed under the name uncultured organism. RNAcentral's name for it is "partial 16S ribosomal RNA". It matches the Rfam family "Bacterial small subunit ribosomal RNA", at positions 332 to 797 of the family's 1533-position model. The record is from RNAcentral.
UACACUCCUGCGGGAGGCAGCAGUGGGGAAUUUUGGACAAUGGGCGAAAGCCUGAUCCAGCAAUGCCGCGUGUGUGAAGAAGGCCUUCGGGUUGUAAAGCACUUUUGUCCGGAAAGAAAUCCUUGGCUCUAAUACAGUCGGGGGAUGACGGUACCGGAAGAAUAAGCACCGGCUAACUACGUGCCAGCAGCCGCGGUAAUACGUAGGGUGCGAGCGUUAAUCGGAAUUACUGGGCGUAAAGCGUGCGCAGGCGGUUUGCUAAGACCGAUGUGAAAUCCCCGGGCUCAACCUGGGAACUGCAUUGGUGACUGGCAGGCUAGAGUAUGGCAGAGGGGGGUAGAAUUCCACGUGUAGCAGUGAAAUGCGUAGAGAUGUGGAGGAAUACCGAUGGCGAAGGCAGCCCCCUGGGCCAAUACUGACGCUCAUGCACGAAAGCGUGGGGAGCAAACAGGAUUAGAAACCCCUGUAGUCCC